GAGUUUGAACCUGGCUCAGGAUGAACGCUGGCGGCGUGCCUAACACAUGCAAGUCGAGCGAAGCACAUAUGCGGAGGCCUCCGGGCCAAAGGAUGUGUGACUGAGCGGCGGACGGGUGAGUAACGCGUGGGUAACCUGCCCUAUACAGGGGGAUAACAGCUAGAAAUGGCUGCUAAUACCGCAUGAGCGCACAGCUCCGCAUGGAGCGGUGUGAAAAACUCCGGUGGUAUAGGAUGGACCCGCGUCCGAUUAGCUAGUUGGUGGGGUAAAGGCCCACCAAGGCGACGAUCGGUAGCCGACCUGAGAGGGUGACCGGCCACAUUGGGACUGAGACACGGCCCAAACUCCUACGGGAGGCAGCAGUGGGGGAUAUUGCACAAUGGGGGAAACCCUGAUGCAGCGACGCCGCGUGAGUGAAGAAGUAUUUCGGUAUGUAAAGCUCUAUCAGCAGGGAAGAAAAUGACAGUA
Molecule: ribosomal RNA, 468 nt
Filed under: uncultured bacterium
Lineage: Bacteria
Description: bacterial SSU rRNA
Rfam family: Bacterial small subunit ribosomal RNA
Source: RNAcentral